This 259-nucleotide long non-coding RNA is filed under the name Carassius auratus (goldfish). RNAcentral's name for it is "lncRNA (ENSCARG00000056718.1)". The record is from RNAcentral. Lineage: Eukaryota; Metazoa; Chordata; Actinopteri; Cypriniformes; Cyprinidae.
AUGGAGAAGACAAAAAGCUGCGGAGGCAGACAUUUGCAGCAGCCAAGUGUUCGAGUGAGCAUGGUGACCACAAGAUUGUUCGCAGAUAAUGAUGUUCUUCUUGAUCAUGCACAAGGACUCACCUCUUUAACUCUUUAUCUUCCCAACACACACAGAAAUGCUCCCUUUAUCAGUGUUUAGACUUUGCAGUGCAGUUUUGUUUUAGUUCUAAGCUUAUAAUGAAUACAUUGUGACCUUCCAGCAACCCAUAUAUUGUAUA